Molecule: ribosomal RNA, 242 nt
Filed under: Halomonas sp.
Lineage: Bacteria; Pseudomonadati; Pseudomonadota; Gammaproteobacteria; Oceanospirillales; Halomonadaceae
Description: partial 16S ribosomal RNA
Rfam family: Bacterial small subunit ribosomal RNA
Source: RNAcentral
CGGGAACUUUAGGGAGACUGCCGGUGACAAACCGGAGGAAGGUGGGGACGACGUCAAGUCAUCAUGGCCCUUACGGGUAGGGCUACACACGUGCUACAAUGGCCGGUACAAAGGGUUGCAAAGCGGCGAGGUGGAGCUAAUCCCAUAAAGCCUGUCUCAGUCCGGAUUGGAGUCUGCAACUCGACUCCGUGAAGUCGGAAUCGCUAGUAAUCGUGAAUCAGAAUGUCACGGUGAAUACGUUC